Molecule: RNase P RNA, 352 nt
Filed under: Lysobacteraceae bacterium
Lineage: Bacteria; Pseudomonadati; Pseudomonadota; Gammaproteobacteria; Lysobacterales; Lysobacteraceae
Description: Xanthomonadaceae bacterium RNase P RNA component class A
Rfam family: Bacterial RNase P class A
About the family: Ribonuclease P (RNase P) is a ubiquitous endoribonuclease, found in archaea, bacteria and eukarya as well as chloroplasts and mitochondria. Its best characterised activity is the generation of mature 5'-ends of tRNAs by cleaving the 5'-leader elements of precursor-tRNAs. Cellular RNase Ps are ribonucleoproteins.
Source: RNAcentral
GAAGCCGGCCAGGCAGCCGCGUCGCGCUUGCGCGCCGAGGAAAGUCCGGGCUCCACAGGGCAGGGUGCCAGGUAACGCCUGGGCGGCGCGAGCCGACGGACAGUGCAACAGAGAGCAAACCGCCGAUGGCCGCCGCGAGGCGGAUCAGGCAAGGGUGAAACGGUGCGGUAAGAGCGCACCGCGAGUCUGGCAACAGACCGGCACGGCAAACCCCACCUGGAGCAAGACCUAAUAGGGGAACCAUGACGCGGCCCGCGUCGUUCCCGGGUUGGUCGCUCGAGUCCUGCGGCGACGCAGGACCUAGAGGAAUGGCUGCCCACGACAGAACCCGGCUUAUCGGCCGGCUUCCACU